RNAcentral lists this ribosomal RNA (717 nucleotides) under uncultured bacterium. RNAcentral's name for it is "bacterial SSU rRNA". It matches the Rfam family "Bacterial small subunit ribosomal RNA", at positions 52 to 758 of the family's 1533-position model. The record is from RNAcentral.
UAUAAUGCAGUCGGACGGGAUUCGGGACAGAGCUUGCUUUGUCCUGAUGAGAGUGGCGCACGGGUGCGUAACGCGUGAGCAACCUGCCCCUGUCAGGGGUAUAGCCCCUCGAAAGAGGGAUUAACACCGCAUGACGAUAUCCCCCGGCAUCGGGGGAUGUCCAAAUAUUCAUAGGACAGGGAUGGGCUCGCGUGGCAUUAGCUAGUUGGUUGGGUAACGGCUGACCAAGGCUACGAUGCCUAGGGGCUCUGAGAGGAGAAUCCCCCACACUGGUACUGAGACACGGACCAGACUCCUACGGGAGGCAGCAGUAAGGAAUAUUGGUCAAUGGAGGGAACUCUGAACCAGCCAUGCCGCGUGCAGGAGGAAGGCCCUACGGGUCGUAAACUGCUUUUGCCGGGGAACAACCCUAUCUACGUGUAGGUAGCUGAGUGUACCCGGAGAAUAAGGAUCGGCUAACUCCGUGCCAGCAGCCGCGGUAAUACGGAGGAUCCGAGCGUUAUCCGGAUUUAUUGGGUUUAAAGGGUGCGUAGGCGGCUUUCUAAGUCAGGGGUGAAAUACAGCGGCUCAACCGUUGCAGUGCCUUUGAUACUGGAGGGCUUGAAUGUGGUCGAAGGCGGCGGAAUGGGACAAGUAGCGGUGAAAUGCAUAGAUAUGUCCCAGAACCCCGAUAGCGAAGGCAGCUGCCUAGGCCAUAAUUGACGCUGAUGCACGAAA